This 465-nucleotide ribosomal RNA is filed under the name uncultured bacterium. RNAcentral describes it as "partial 16S ribosomal RNA". It matches the Rfam family "Bacterial small subunit ribosomal RNA", at positions 338 to 795 of the family's 1533-position model. The record is from RNAcentral.
CCUACGGGUGGCAGCAGUAGGGAAUCUUCCACAAUGGGCGAAAGCCUGAUGGAGCGACGCCGCGUGGGUGAAGAAGGUCUUCGGAUCGUAAAACCCUGUUGUUAGAGAAGAAAGUGCGCGAUAGGAACUGUUCACGUUCCGACGGUAUCUAACCAGAAAGCCACGGCUAACUACGUGCCAGCAGCCGCGGUAAUACGUAGGUGGCAAGCGUUAUCCGGAUUGAUUGGGCGUAAAGGGAACGCAGGCGGGCUUGUAAGUCCGAGGUGAAAGCCUUGGGCUUAACCGCAGUAGUGCAUUGGAAACUGGGAGACUUGAGUACAGAAGAGGAGAGUGGAAUUCCAUGUGUAGCGGUGAAAUGCGUAGAUAUAUGGAAGAACACCAGUGGCGAAAGCGGCUUGCUGGUCUGUAACUGACGCUGAGGUUCGAAAGCGUGGGUAGCGAACAGGAUUAGAUACCCUUGUAGUC